RNAcentral lists this ribosomal RNA (482 nucleotides) under uncultured bacterium. RNAcentral describes it as "partial 16S ribosomal RNA". It matches the Rfam family "Bacterial small subunit ribosomal RNA", at positions 28 to 507 of the family's 1533-position model. The record is from RNAcentral.
GACGAACGCUGGCGGCGUGCUUAACACAUGCAAGUCGAACGCUGAAGCUCAGCUUGCUGGGUGGAUGAGUGGCGAACGGGUGAGUAACACGUGAGUAACCUGCCCUCUUCUUUGGGAUAACGCCCGGAAACGGGUGCUAAUACUGGAUAUUCAUUGAUUCUCGCAUGGGGGUUGGUGGAAAGGUUUUUUCUGGUGGGGGAUGGGCUCGCGGCCUAUCAGCUUGUUGGUGGGGUGAUGGCCUACCAAGGCUUUGACGGGUAGCCGGCCUGAGAGGGUGACCGGUCACAUUGGGACUGAGAUACGGCCCAGACUCCUACGGGAGGCAGCAGUGGGGAAUAUUGCACAAUGGGCGAAAGCCUGAUGCAGCGACGCCGCGUGAGGGAUGGAGGCCUUCGGGUUGUAAACCUCUUUCGCUCAUGGUCAAGCCGCAGCUUUGGGUUGUGGUGAGGGUAGUGGGUAAAGAAGCGCCGGCUAACUACGUG